GGUCAAGCUAUUAAGGGCGUAUGGGGGAUGUCUUGGUAUCAGAAGGCGAUGAAGGGCGUGGAAGACUGCGAUAAGCCUGGGGGAGUUGUCAAACGAGCGUUGAUCCCGGGAUUCCUGAAUGACUUGCACUGAAUACAUAGGUGCAAGUGGCUAACCCAGAGAACUGAAACAUCUCAGUACCUGGAGGAAGAGAAAGAAAACUCGAUUUCGUUAGUAGCGGCGAGCGAACGCGAAAUAGCCCAAACCGUGGAGAUUUUCUCCACGGGGUUGUAGGGUCUCUCACAUGGGAGUUACAAAGCGAACUACUAGUUGAACGACAUGGAAAGGUCGGCCACAGACGGUGACAGCCCGGUAAACGAAAGUGGAUUCGCCUCCCGAGAGAUACCUGAGUAGGUUCAGGCACGUGAAACCUGGACUGAAUCUGCGGGGACC
Molecule: ribosomal RNA, 432 nt
Filed under: Blastopirellula sediminis
Lineage: Bacteria; Pseudomonadati; Planctomycetota; Planctomycetia; Pirellulales; Pirellulaceae
Description: partial 23S ribosomal RNA
Rfam family: Bacterial large subunit ribosomal RNA
Source: RNAcentral